Molecule: transfer RNA, 91 nt
Filed under: Streptomyces gardneri
Lineage: Bacteria; Bacillati; Actinomycetota; Actinomycetes; Kitasatosporales; Streptomycetaceae
Description: tRNA-Ser
Source: RNAcentral
UGGUCGGUUCGCCCGUGUGGCAGGACGUGGCGCCGCUGUCGCGGCACGUCUGGGUGAAGAAGUCGCGGUCGUUCUCGUCGGCCUCGGCGAA